GACGAACGCUGGCGGCGUGCUUAACACAUGCAAGUCGAACGGAAAGGCCCUGCUUUUGUGGGGUGCUCGAGUGGCGAACGGGUGAGUAACACGUGAGUAACCUGCCCUUGACUUUGGGAUAACUUCAGGAAACUGGGGCUAAUACCGGAUAGGAGCUCCUGCUGCAUGGUGGGGGCUGGAAAGUUUCGGCGGUUGGGGAUGGACUCGCGGCUUAUCAGCUUGUUGGUGGGGUAGUGGCUUACCAAGGCUUUGACGGGUAGCCGGCCUGAGAGGGUGACCGGCCACAUUGGGACUGAGAUACGGCCCAGACUCCUACGGGAGGCGGCAGUGGGGAAUAUUGCACAAUGGGCGGAAGCCUGAUGCAGCAACGCCGCGUGCGGGAUGACGGCCUUCGGGUUGUAAACCGCUUUCGCCUGUGACGAAGCGUGAGUGACGGUAAUGGGAAAAGAAGCACCGGCUAACUACGUG
Molecule: ribosomal RNA, 468 nt
Filed under: uncultured bacterium
Lineage: Bacteria
Description: partial 16S ribosomal RNA
Rfam family: Bacterial small subunit ribosomal RNA
Source: RNAcentral